Molecule: ribosomal RNA, 271 nt
Filed under: uncultured bacterium
Lineage: Bacteria
Description: partial 16S ribosomal RNA
Rfam family: Bacterial small subunit ribosomal RNA
Source: RNAcentral
UACGGAGGGAGCUAGCGUUGUUCGGAAUUACUGGGCGUAAAGCGCACGUAGGCGGCGACACAAGUCAGAGGUGAAAGCCCGGGGCUCAACCCCGGAACUGCCUUUGAAACUAGGUUGCUAGAAUCUUGGAGAGGUCAGUGGAAUUCCGAGUGUAGAGGUGAAAUUCGUAGAUAUUCGGAAGAACACCAGUGGCGAAGGCGACUGACUGGACAAGUAUUGACGCUGAGGUGCGAAAGCGUGGGGAGCAAACAGGAUUAGAUACCCUAGUAGU